RNAcentral lists this RNase P RNA (420 nucleotides) under Halorientalis pallida. Its description in RNAcentral is "Halorientalis sp. F13-25 RNase P RNA component". It matches the Rfam family "Archaeal RNase P". Rfam says of the family: Ribonuclease P (RNase P) is a ubiquitous endoribonuclease, found in archaea, bacteria and eukarya as well as chloroplasts and mitochondria. Its best characterised activity is the generation of mature 5'-ends of tRNAs by cleaving the 5'-leader elements of precursor-tRNAs. The record is from RNAcentral. Lineage: Archaea; Methanobacteriati; Methanobacteriota; Halobacteria; Halobacteriales; Haloarculaceae.
GGCAGAGGGAGUCCGGCCACCGUGCCCCGGACCGCACCGCGCAAGGGGCAUGAGGAAAGUCCCCCCACCGUCCGGGCAGGUGACCGGGCGCAAGCCCGGAGCGGGAGACCGCUGGCUCUGGAACAGAAACGACACCCCUCCGCGCGAGCGAUGAGGCGUGCGAACCCCGACCGUAAGGGAGGGGGAGUUGACCAGCCGAGCGUAGCGGGGUUCGCGAGAACCCCGGACGGCGAACGGCACAGCCGUGAGCCGGGCGGCGACCCAGUCGCCACAGGACCGCGGAGAACGGAUGGAACGGCGAAUCCUCACCGGUGCAAGCCCGCGUCGUCAGGUAGCCCGGACACCGCCGGAUUCGGCGACCUGGCGCGGGCGCGUAGCCGAAUGCCGGACCGAACAGAAGGGGGCUUACUCCCCUCAGCC